This 492-nucleotide ribosomal RNA is filed under the name uncultured bacterium. Its description in RNAcentral is "partial 16S ribosomal RNA". It matches the Rfam family "Bacterial small subunit ribosomal RNA", at positions 29 to 507 of the family's 1533-position model. The record is from RNAcentral.
AGUGAACGCUGGCGGUAGGCCUAACACAUGCAAGUCGAACGGCAGCACAGUAAGAGCUUGCUCUUACGGGUGGCGAGUGGCGGACGGGUGCGGAAUACAUCGGAAUCUACUUUUUCGUGGGGGAUCACGUAGGGAAACUUACGCUAAUACCGCAUACGACCUACGGGUGAAAGCAGGGGAUCUUCGGACCUUGCGCGAUUGAAUGAGCCGAUGUCGGAUUAGCUAGUUGGCGGGGUAAAGGCCCACCAAGGCGACGAUCCGUAGCUGGUCUGAGAGGAUGAUCAGCCACACUGGAACUGAGACACGGUCCAGACUCCUACGGGAGGCAGCAGUGGGGAAUAUUGGACAAUGGGCGCAAGCCUGAUCCAGCCAUACCGCGUGGGUGAAGAAGGCCUUCGGGUUGUAAAGCCCUUUUGUUGGGAAAGAAAAGCAGCAGGUUAAUACCCCGCUGUUCUGGCGGUACCCAAAGAAUAAGCACCGGCUAACUUCGUG